AGUGAACGCUGGCGGUAGGCCUAACACAUGCAAGUCGAACGGCAGCACAGUAAGAGCCUGGUCUAACGGAUGGCGGGUGGCGGACGGGUGAGGAAUACAUCGGAAUCUACUUUUUCGUGGGGGCUAACGUAGGGAAGCCUAAGAUCAUACCGCAUACGACCUACGGGUGAAAGCAGGGGAGCUUCGGACGUUGCGCGUUUGAAUGAGCCGAUGUAGGAUUAGCUAGUUGGCGGGGUAAAGGCCCACCACGGCGGCGAUCCGUAGCUGGUCUGAGAGGAUGAUCAGCGACACUGGGACUGAGACACGGUCCAGACUCCUACGGGAGGCAGCAGUGGGGAAGAUUGGACAAUGGGCGGAAUCCUGAUCCAGCCAUACCGCGUGGGUGAAGAAGGCCUUCGUGGUGUAAAGCCCUUUUGUUGUUAAAGAAAAGCAGCAGGUGAAUACCCCGCUUUUCUGACGGUACCCAAAGAAUAAGCACCGGCUAACUUCGUG
RNAcentral lists this ribosomal RNA (492 nucleotides) under uncultured bacterium. Its description in RNAcentral is "partial 16S ribosomal RNA". It matches the Rfam family "Bacterial small subunit ribosomal RNA", at positions 29 to 507 of the family's 1533-position model. The record is from RNAcentral.